AUUUCUUUUAGAGGAGGAGAGUUGUAACACCCCGGUGUAAUGAGGCUACAGUAAUCCCUGAGAUCAAGCUAAUCUUUUUGCUAUAACAGUGCUUGGUCACUUUGAUCAAUAUUCCAUUUCAAAUUCCAGUUGAAUUCAAUUUGAAUUUAUGAGUGAAAUUCAAAAAUGCUCAGACAUGAAAACUAAAAUGUUCAUCAUGUGGAACAUAUUAUUCUGGUAAUAUUGGUGUUGGUCCAACAUUUUUUUUCAAAGUGUCUAAAUGACCUAUGAUAGCUAAAGCAGAAAAGCUUUAAAAAAAAGAAAAGAAAAAGGGAAAGCAAGGAGAAAAGGAAAAUGGCCAGAGUCCCUGGCCUCCCAUUGGGCCUCGGCCCACCCCAGCUAGGCCGGCCCGCUCCCCCUCCCCGGUCAUCCCUCUCCUCUCUGUUCACGCGAUCGAGCCUCCCACCUCAUUCCCACCGGACCCGGCGCGGCGCCCUGCGCUGCCACGUCGCCGGCGAGGGGAUAAGGGCAGCCCCGAUGCCUCGGGCUCCCUCCCCACUCACCCACUUGCCCCUCUCUCCCUCGUCGAUCUCUCUUCCUGCUCGCUCACUCCCCUCUCUCUGACCCGAGCGCGCCCGCUGCCAUCUUCCGUUGUCACCGCGGCCACCGGAGCCGUCUCGUCCUCCUGACUUGUCCACCAGCACCGUCGACGUCUUCUCCCUCUUGCCCGGCCUCGCGUCCGAGCCGGAGGCCACUACAUUGCCCGGAUCGAGCCGACGACCACCGUGGAUCGCCGAAGCUCCUCCGCUCCGUCCGUCGCCGACUCCGUCGACCCGCUGCGCUCCUAAGCAUCCAAGGGCCACCGUGAGCCGCAUCGUAAGCUGCCGCACCGAACCCGUCUCUUUCUCCUCUCUCCCCGCGGUCGCAAUCGUCGUUCUUCUUCAUGGCCGAACCGCCGCCGCGCCGUUCGUCACCGUCGUUUCGGUCGACAUUGAGCUCGACCGAGUUCGCGGCCGUGCUCCUCGACGCCGUAGGGACCCGUAGCGCCCUCCAGUUCGUGCAACCGCCCUCUCUAGCGUCGAUUCCGCCAUUGCCCGGAAGCCGCCGCCACUGCAACUCGUUGCCGACGCCCUUUCCGGCCUCCCCAGCUACUGCCGCCGCCGCCACUCGACGUGGUUCGUUCACCGCGUCUGCACGGCGCCUCUCGCGCGUCAAAUAGGCCACGGACGGCUAUUUCCGAACCUCGCCGGUGAUGCGCUGCCGUGAAAUGGCCCGCCGGAGUUACUCCGGUCACCAGCGCCGGCGUGGGCUCACGUGGACGCCUGGGGCCCGUCCCCUGAGCCACUGACCGUGGGCCCGUGGGGCCUGUUGACUGAGUUGGCUCAGUCAACUCUGCUGACUGGGCACCCCCUUGUCAAUGACAGGCGGGGCCCUCCCACUAAUUAAUUUUGGUGUUUUUUUAACCUUUCAUUAUCCUAAGCAGCCACUGACACCCGGGGCCCGCCCCCCUUAAUUAGGUCUGUUUAAGUAAACUGAACUCUGUUAGCUCUGUGUCAAUGACAUGUGGGUCCCAUUGGACCCACAGGUCAGUUUUGACUUGGUCAGCGAGUCUGUUGACCUGUUGAUGUCAUGCUGACACCUUGCUGACGUCAUAUUCCUUUUCUGUUAAUUCUAGAAAAUUGUUUAAUCUUUAGAAAUUCAUAGAAAGUAAACCGUACCUCGGAUGAAAAUGUUUUCUACAUGAAAGUUGCUCAGAAAAAUCCAACGAAUCCGAAUACGCGGUUCGUUCAUUUGUCACAUGCCCCUAGCAUGAUGAACAUGGAACAUUCCCCCUCCGGUCAUCUGUUUGAUACAGGUCCGGAACCGGGAAUGCAUUCCCGGUUGAAUUCCCCCUUCACCUUUAUCGUGUAGCCAUACGUUAGGUCACACCCGGCACAACAUAUUGCCAUGUUAUGCUUUGUGAUGCUAUGCUUGCUUUAUAUUUAUUGUUUCUUCCCCCUCUUUUCUCCGGUAGACCCCGAGACCGAUGCCGCCCCUGUGAUCGACUACGUCGACGACGACCCCUCCUUGCUAGAGCAACCAGGCAAGCCCCCCCUUUGAUCAUCCCGAUAUCGCCCAUUCCAUUCUCUGAUGCUUGCAUUAGAUUUUGCUACUAUAAUUGAUUGCUCCUAUUCUGAUGCAUAGCCUGCUUUUGUAACCUGCUUAUUGUUACCUACCUGCUUAUCCUAAACUGCUUAGUAUAGGUUGGUUAGUGAUCCAUCAGUGACCCCCACCUUGUCCUUGUUGCCCCUGCUUCAUCAUCGAAGACCCGAUCAAUGGGAUCGAAGGCCAGGCCCCAGCACCGCACAUCACUUUUGUUGGGGAACGUAGUAAUUUCAAAAUUUUCCUACGCAGACGCAAGAUCAUGGUGAUGCAUAGCAACGAGAGGGGAGAGUGUUGUCCACGUACCCUCGUAGACCGAAAGCGGAAGUGUUAUCACAACGCGGUUGAUGUAGUCGUACGUCUUCACGAUCCGACCGAUCAAGUACCGAACGGACGACACCUCCGAGUUCAGCACACGUUCAGCUCGAUGACGUCCCUCGAACUCCGAUCCAGCCGAGUGUUGAGGGAGAGUUUCGUCAGCACGACGGCGUGGUGAUGAUGAUGAUGUUCUACCGACGCAGGGCUUCGCCUAAGCUCCGCAACGAUAUUAUCGAGGUGUAAUAUGGUGGAGGGGGCACCGCACACGGCUAAAAUAUCGUAUAUCAAUUGUGUGUCUAGAGGUGCCCCCCUGCCCCCGUAUAUAAAGGAGCAAGGGGGAGGCCGGCUGCCCUUGGGGCGCGCCAAGGAGAGGGGGGGGGGAAUCCUCCUCCUAGUAGGAGUAGGACUCCCCUUUCCUAGUCCAACUAGGAAGAGAGAGGGGGAAGGAAAGAGAGGGAGAGGGAGAGGGAAAGAGGGGCCGCGCCCCCUCCCCUAGUCCAAUUCGGACUUCUCAUGGGAGGGGGCGCACCACCUCCUAGCUGCUACCCUCUCUCUCCCCUCAGGCCCACUAAGGCCCAAUACUUGCCCGGGGGGUUUCGGUAACCCCUCUGGCACUCCGAUUUUAUCCGAAACUUCUCCGGAACACUUCCGGUGUCCGAAUAUAGUCGUCCAAUAUAUCAAUCUUUAUUUCUCGACCAUUUCGAGACUCCUCGUCAUGUCCGUGAUCACAUCCGGGACUCCGAACAACCUUCGGUACAUCAAAACAUAUAAAGUCAUAAUAUAACUGUCAUCGUAACGUUAAGCGUGCGGACCCUACGGGUUCGAGAACUAUGUAGACAUGACCGAGACACCUCUCCGGUCAAUAACCAAUAGCGGAACCUGGAUGCUCAUAUUGGUUCCUACAUAUUCUACGAAGAUCUUUAUCGGUCAGACCGCAUAACAACAUACGUUGUUCCCUUUGUCAUCGGUAUGUUACUUGCCCGAGAUUCGAUCGUCGGUAUCUCGAUACCUAGUUCAAUCUCGUUAUCGGCAAGUCUCUUUAUUCGUUCCGUAAUACAUCAUCCCGCAACUAACUCAUUAGUCACAAUGCUUGCAAGGCUUAUAUGUGAUGUGUAUUACUGAGUGGGCCCAGAGAUACCUCUCCGACAAUCGGAGUGACAAAUUCUAAUCUCGAAAUACGCUAACCCAACAAGUACCUUUGGAGACACCUGUAGAGCACCUUUAUUAUCACCCAGUUACGUUGUGACGUUUGGUAGCACACAAAGUGUUCCUCCGGUAAACGGGAGUUGCAUAAUCUCAUAGUCAUAGGAACACGUAUAAGUCAUGAAGAAAGCAAUAGCAACAUACUAAACGAUCGUGUGCUAAGCUAUCGGAAUGGGUCAAGUCAAUCACGUCAUUCUCCUAAUGAGGUGAUCUCGUUAAUCAAAUGACAACUCAUGUCUAUGGCUAGGAAACAUAACCAUCUUUGAUUAACGAGCUAGUCAAGUAGAGGCAUACUAGUGACACUCUGUUUGUCUAUGUAUUCACACAUGUAUUAUGUUUCCGGUUAAUACAAUUCUAGCAUGAAUAAUAAACAUUUAUCAUGAUAUAAGGAAAUAAAUAAUAACUUUAUUAUUGCCUCUAGGGCAUAUUUCCUUCAGUCUCCCACUUGCACUAGAGUCAAUAAUCUAGUUCACAUCGCCAUGUGAUUUAACAUCAAUAAUUCACAUCACCAUGUGAUUAACACCCAUAGUUCACAUUGUCAUGUGACCAACACCCAAGGGGUUUACUAGAGUCAAUAAUCUAGUUCACAUCGCUAUGUGAUUAACACCCAAAGAGUACUAAGGUGUGAUCAUGUUUUAAUUGUGAGAUAAUUUUAGUCAACGGGUCUGUCACAUUCAGAUCCGUAAGUAUUUUGCAAAUUUCUAUGUCUACAAUGCUCUGCACGGAGCUACUCUAGCUAAUUGCUCCCACUUUCAAUAUGUAUCUAGACCGAGACUUAGAGUCAUCUAGAUUAGUGUCAAAACUUGCAUCGACGUAACCCUUUACGAUGAACCUUUUGUCACUUCCAUAAUCGAGAAACAUAUCCUUUAUUCCACUAAGGAUAAUUUUGACCGCUGUCCAGUGAUCUACUCCUAGAUCACUAUUGUACUCCCUUGCCAAGAUCAGUGUAGGGUAUACAAUAGAUCUGGUACACAGCAUGGCAUACUUUAUAGAACCUAUGGCCAAGGCAUGGGGAAUGACUUUCAUUCUCUUUCUAUCUUCUGCCGUGGUCGGGCAUUGAGUCUUACUCAAUUUCACACCUUGUAACAGAGGCAAGAACUCUUUCUUUGACUGUUCUAGUUUGAACUACUUCGAAAUCUUGUUAAGGUAUGUACUCAUUGAAAAAACUUAUCAAGCGUCUUGAUCUAUCUCUAUAGAUCUUGAUGCUCAAUAUGUAAGCAGCUUCACCGAGGUCUUUCUUUGAAAAACUCCUUUCAAACACUCCUUUAUGCUUUGCAGAAUAAUUCUACAUUAUUCCCGAUCAACAAUAUGUCAUUCACAUAUACUUAUUAGAAAUGCUGUAGUGCUCCCACUCACUUUCUUGUAAAUACAGGCUUCACCGCAAGUCUGUAUAAAACUAUAUCCUUUGAUCAACUUAUCAAAGCGUAUAUUCCAACUCCGAGAUGCUUACACCAGUCCAUAGAUGGAUCGCUGGUGCUUGCAUAUUUUGUUUAGCACUUUUAGGAUUGACAAAACCUCCUGGUUGCAUCAUAUACAACUCUUCUUUAAUAAAUCCAUUAAGGAAUGCAGUUUUGUUUAUCCAUUUGCCAUAUUUCAUAAAAUGCGGCAAUUGCUAACAUGAUUCAGACAGACUUAAGCAUAGAUACGAGUGAGAAACUCUCAUCGUAGUGAACACCUUGAACUUGUCGAAAACCUUUUUGCGACAAUUCUAGCUUUGUAGACAGUAACACUACUAUCAGCGUCCGUCUUCCUCUUGAAGAUCCAUUUAAUCUCAAUGGCUCGCCGAUCAUUGGGCAAGUCAAUCAAAGUCCAUACUUUGUUCUCAUACAUGGAUCUCAUCUCAGAUUUCAUGGCCUCAAGCCAUUUUGCGGAAUCUGGGCUCACCAUCGCUUCUUCAUAGUUCGUAGGUUCGUCAUGGUCUAGUAACAUAACCUCCAGAAUAGGAUUACCGUACCACUCUGGUGCGGAUCUUACUCUGGUUGACCUACGAGGUUCAGUAAUAACUUGAUCUGAAGUUCCAUGAUCAUCAUCAUUAACUUCCUCAUUAAUUGGUAUAGGCGUCACAGAAACUGGUUUCUGCGAUGAACUACUUUCCAAUAAGUGAGCAGGUACAAUUACCUCAUCAAGUUCUACUUUCCUCCCACUCACUUAUUUCGAGAGAAACUCCUUCUCCAGAAAGAUUCUGAAUUUUGCAACAAAAGUCUUGCCUUUGGAUCUGUGAUAGAAGGUGUACCCAACAGUCUCCUUUGGGUAUCCUAUGAAGACACAUUUCUCCGAUUUGGGUUUGAGCUUAUCAGGAUGAAACUUUUUCACUUAAGCAUCGCAACCCCAAACUUUAAGAAACGACAACUUUGGUUUCUUGCCAAACCACAGUUCAUAAGAUGUCGUCUCAACGGAUUUAGAUGGUACCCUAUUUAAUGUGAAUGCAGCUGUCUCUAAUGCAUAACCCCAAAACGAUAGUGGUAGAUCGGUAAGAGACAUCAUAUAUCGCACCAUAUCUAAUAAAGUACGGUUACGAUGUUCGGACACACCAUUACACUGUGGUGUUCCAGGUGGCGUGAGUAGUGAAACUAUUUCACAUUGUUUUAACUGAAGGCCAAACUCGUAACUCAAAUACUCUUCUCCACGAUCAGAUCGUAGAAACUUUAUUUUCUUGUUACGAUGAUUUUCCGCUUCACUCUGAAAUUAUAUGAACUUUUCAAAUGUUUCAGACUUCUGUUCCAUUAAGUAGAUAUACCCAUAUCUUCUCAAAUCAUCUGUGAAGGUCAGAAAAUAAUGAUACCUGCUACGAGCCUCAAUUUUCAUCGGACCACAUACAUCUGUAUGUAUGAUUUCCAACAAAUCUGUUGCUCUCUCCAUAGUUCCGGAGAACGGCGUUUUAGUCAUCUUUCCCAUGAGGCACGGUUCGCAAGCAUCAAGUGAUUCCAAAAUCCCAUCAAUAUGGAGUUUCUUCAUGCGCUUUACACCAAUAUGACCUAAACGGCAGUGCCACAAAUAAAUUGCACUAUCAUUAUUAACUUUGCAUCUUUUGGCUUCAUUAUUAUGAAUAUGUGUAUCACUACGAUCGAGAUCCAACAAACCAUUUUAUUGGGUGUAUGACCAUAGAAGGUUUUAUUCAUGUAAACAGAACAACAAUUAUUCUCUAAUUUAAUUGAAUAACCGUAUUGCAACAAACAUGAUCAAAUCAUAUUCAUGGUCAACGCAAACACCAAAUAACACUUAUUUAGUUUCAACACUAAUCCCGAAAGUAUAGGGAGUGUGCGAUGAUGAUCAUAUAUAUCUUGGAACUACUUCCAACACACAUCGUCACCUCGCCUUUUACUAGUCUCUGUUUAUUCUGCAACUCCCGUUUCGAGUUACUACUUUAGCAACUGAACCGGUAUCAAAUACCGAGGGGUUGCUAUAAACACUAGUAAAGUACACGUCAAUAACAUGUAUAUCCAAUAUACCUUUGUUCAUUUUGCCAUCCUUCUUAUCCACCAAAUAGUUGGGGUAGUUCCGCUUCCAGUGACCAGUUCCUUUGCAGUAGAAGCACUUAGUCUCAGGCUUAGGACCAGACUUAGGCUUCUUCACUUGAGCAGCAACUUGCUUGCCGUUCUUCUUGAAGUUCCCCUUCUUCCCUUUGCCCUUUCUUGAAACUAGUGGUCUCGUCAACCAUCAACACUUGAUGUUUUUCUUGAUUUCUACCUUCGUCGAUUUCAGCAUCACGAAGAGCUCGGGAAUUACUUUCGUCAUCCCUUGCAUACUAUAAUUCAUCACGAAGUUCUACUAACUUGGUGAUGGUGACUAGAGAAUUCUGUCAAUCACUAUUUUAUCUGGAAGAUUAACUCCCACUUGAUUCAAGCGAUUGUAGUACCCAGACAAUCUGAGCACAUGCUCACUGCUUGAGCUAUUCUCCUCCAUCUUUUAGCUAUAGAACUUGUUGGAGACUUCAUAUCUCUCAACUCGGGUAUUUGCUUGAAAUAUUAACUUCAACUCCUGGAACAUCUCAUAUGGUCCAUGACGUUCAAAACGUCUUUGAAGUCCCGAUUCUAAGCCGUUAAGCAUGGUGCACUAAACUAUCAAGUAGUCAUCAUAUUGAGCUAGCCAAACAUUCAUAACGUCUGCAUCUGCUCCUGCAAUAGGUCUGUCACCUAGCGGUGCAUCAAGGACAUAAUUCUUCUGUGCAGAAAUGAGGAUAAUCCUCAGAUCACGGAUCCAAUCCACAUCUUUGCUACUAACAUCUUUCAACAUAAUUUUCUCUAGGAACAUAUCAAAACAAACACAGGGAAGCAACAACGUGAGCUAUUGAUCUACAACAUAAUUUGCAAAAAUACUAUCAGGACUAAGUUCAUGAUAAAUUUAAGUUCAAUUAAUCAUAUUACUUAAGAACUCCCACUUAGAUAGACAUCCCUCUAAUCCUCUAAGUGAUCACGUGAUCCAUAUCAACUAAACCAUGUCCGAUCAUCACGUGAGAUGGAGUAGUUUCAACGGUGAACAUCACUAUGUUGAUCAUAUCUACUAUAUGAUUCACGCUCGACCUUUCGGUCUCCGUGUUCUGAGGCCAUAUCUGCAUAUGCUAGGCUCGUCAAGUUUAACCUGAGUAUUCCGCGUGUGCAACUGUUUUGCACCCGUUGUAUUUGAACGUAGAGCCUAUCACACCCGAUCAUCACGUGGUGUCUCAGCACGAAGAACUUUCGCAACGGUGCAUACUCAGGGAGAACACUUUUAUUUUGAAAUUUUAGUGAGAGAUCAUCUUAUAAUGCUACCGUCAAUCAAAGCAAGAUAAGAUGCAUAAAAGAUUAACAUCACAUGCAAUCAAUAUAAGUGAUAUGAUAUGGCCAUCAUCAUCUUGUGCUUGUGAUCUCCAUCUCUGAAGCACCGUCAUGAUCGCCAUCGUCACCGGCGCGACACCUUGAUCUCCAUCGUAGUAUCGUUGUCAUCUCGCCAACUUAUUGCUUUUAUGACUAUCGCUACCGCUUAGUGAUAAAGUAAAACAAUUACAUGGCGAUUGCAUUGCAUACAAUAAAGCGACAACCAUAUGGCUCCUGCCAGUUGCCGAUAACUCGGUUACAAAACAUGAUCAUCUCAUACAAUAAAAUAUAGCAUCAUGUCUUGACCAUAUCACAUCACAACAUGCCCUACGAAAAGAAGUUAGACGUCCUCUACUUUGUUGUUGCAAGUUUUACGUGGCUGCUACGGGCUUAGCAAGAACCGUUCUUACCUACGCAUCAAAACCACAACGAUAGUUUGUCAAGUUGGUGCUGUUUUAACCUUCACAAGGACCGGGCGUAGCCACACUCGGUUCAACUAAAGUGAGAGAGACAAACACCCGCCGGCCACCUUUAAGCAACGAGUGCUCGCAACGGUGAAACCAGUCUCGUGUAAGCGUACGCGUAAUGUCGGUCCGGGCCGCUUCAUCUCACAAUACCGCCGAACCAAAGUAUGACAUGCUGGUAAGCAAUAUGACUUAUAUCGCCCACAACUCACUUGUGUUCUACUCGUGCAUAGCAUCAACGCAUAAUACCAGGCUCUGAUACCACUGUUGGGGAACGUAGUAAUUUCAAAAUUUUCCUACGCACACGCAAGAUUAUGGUGAUGCAUAGCAACGAGAGGGGAGAGUGUUGUCCACGUACCCUCGUAGACCGAAAGCGGAAGCGUUAUCACAACGCGGUUGAUGUAGUCGUACGUCUUCACGAUCCGACCGAUCAAGUACCGAACGGACGGCACCUCCGAGUUCAGCACACGUUCAGCUCGAUGAUGUCCCUCGAACUCCGAUCCAGCCGAGUGUUGAGGGAGAGUUUCGUCAGCACGACGGCGUGGUGACGAUGAUGAUGUUCUACCGACGCAGGGCUUCGCCUAAGCUCCGCAACGAUAUUAUCGAGGUGUAAUAUGGUGGAGGGGGGCACCGCACACGGCUAAAAUAUCGUAUAUCAAUUGUGUGUGUCUAGAGGUGCCCCCCUGCCCCCAUAUAUAAAGGAGCAAGGGGGAGGCCGGCUGCCCUUGGGGCGCUCCAAGGAGAGGGGGGGAGUCCUCCUCCUAGUAGGAGUAGGACUCCCCUUUCCUAGUCCAACUAGGAAGAGAGAGGGGGAAGGAAAGAGAGGGAGAGGGAGAGGGAAAGAGGGGCCGCGCCCCCCUCCCCUAGUCCAAUUCGGACUCCUCAUGGGAGGGGGCGCGCCACCUCCUGGCUGCUGCCCUCUCUCUCCCCUUAGGCCCACUAAGGCCGAAUACUUCCCCGGGGGGUUCCGGUAACCCGUCUGGCACUCCGGUUUUAUCCGAAACUUCUCCGGAACACUUCCGGUGUCCGAAUAUAGUCGUCCAAUACAUCAAUCUUUAUGUCUCGACCAUUUCGAGACUCCUCUUCAUGUCCGUGAUCACACCCGGGACUCCGAACAACCUUCGGUACAUCAAAACAUUUAAACUCAUAAUAUAACUGUCAUCGUAACGUUAAGCGUGCGGACCCUACGGGUUCGAGAACUAUGUAGACAUGACCGAGACACCUCUCCGGUCAAUAACCAAUAGCGGAACCUGGAUGCUCUUAUUGGUUCCUACAUAUUCUACGAAGAUCUUUAUCGGUCAGACCGCAUAACAACAUACGUUGUUCCCUUUGUCAUCGGUAUGUUACUUGCCCGAGAUUCGAUCGUCGGUAUCUCGAUACCUAGUUCAAUCUCGUUACCGGCAAGUCUCUUUACUCGUUCCGUAAUACAUCAUCCCGCAACUAACUCAUUAGUCACAAUGCUUGCAAGGCUUAUAUGUUAUGUGUAUUACUGAGUGGGCCCAGAGAUACCUCUCCGACAAUCGGAGUGACAAAUCCUAAUCUUGAAAUACGCCAACCCAACAAGUACCUUUGGAGACACCUGUAGAGCACCUUUAUUAUCACCCAGUUACGUUGUGACGUUUGGUAGCACACAAAGUGUUCCUCCGGUAAACGGGAGUUCCAUAAUCUCAUAGUCAUAGGAACAUGUAUAAGUCAUGAAGAAAGCAAUAGCAACAUACUAAACGAUCGUGUGCUAAGCUAACGGAAUGGGUCAAGUCAAUCACGUCAUUCUCCUAAUGAGGUGAUCCCGUUAAUCAAAUGACAACUCAUGUCUAUGGCUAGGAAACAUAACCAUCUUUGAUUAACGAGCUAGUCAAGUAGAGGCAUACUAGUGACACUCUGUUUGUCUAUGUAUUCACACAUGUAUUAUGUUUCCGGUUAAUACAAUUCUAGCAUGAAUAAUAAACAUUUAUCAUGAUAUAAGGAAAUAAAUAAUAACUUUAUUAUUGCCUCUAGGGCAUAUUUCCUUCAACUUUCCCCUUAGUUGCUCGACACUACUGGGUUACUAUCGAGUGCCGAGGGUGAGACCUCUACAGCACUUCUGAUGUUAACCCUGUAGUGUAGCUAUUCGGUCGUGGUCAUCGACGGUGAUUCCGCCUUAACCACUUCCGAUACGACUCUGUCGUGCAACCCCUCAAGUGUGAACCUCGGGGGUGAUUCCUCUUACGUUCACCUUGAUGAUUACAUCGAGUGGAAUUCACCGAGGGUGAUUCCUCGGGUUUUCCCCUUGAUGUUUGGACACACAGUUGCUAUGGUUACUAUGACUUUACACUGAACCAUGUUACUAAAGACGGGUCAGCCCUGAGGGGUACCCGCGCGGGCUUAAUUGCGAGUGAUGUGGAGACGGGUUGACCUGGAGGGUGCCCGUGAGAUAAUUACGAGGCGUGGUCGGGCAUUCCUAGCCCUUGCCGCAAGUCCUCGAGACAGGGCAACGGGGUCACAUCUUUCGUGAGUCUCUGCUUGUUACCGCGCAUUCCUAAUCCACUACGAUUUGGAUAUUUGAUCUGAGAGGCCUCUGGCCUGAUAGCACUAACCAUCACGUGGGCAUAGUAUGGGCGUUCUGCGUCGUAUACAUCAGCCGAAGCUUAAUAGACGUCAGCGACCGAGGGGCGCGCGCCGGGUUGGACUGGUAAGCUCCUGCCUUUUUAGGGAGGUAGCUAGGUCUGCUCACCGGCCGCGUUCGCAACGUGCAGGAGUUCCCGGGGCGAUGGCCCAUGACCCUUGGGGGCAUAGGUUUAGUCCGGCGUGCUGACCUCUCUAUUAAUCCUAGGUCGGGUUGCAGUGUAUUGUUUGACCGAGGCCGGGCAUGACCCAGGAAAGUGUGUCCGGCCGGAGUUAAUCGAGCAUGGUGGGUAAGUUGGUGCACCCUGCAGGGAAGAAAACAUCUAUCGAUAGCCUGUCCUACGGUAACAGACACUUGGAGUUGUAUCCCGAUCGAUACAACUAGAACUGGAUACUUGUGAUGAGUAAUGGCUUGUGAUGAUAACUGGAUAGUAUGGCUCUGGGAUUGGUUUCUCGCAGGGAGUCGAGAAAGGAUCUCUGGCCGAGGUUGAUAUCACUACUACUACUUUACUUUAUGCUACUCUACUCCCUCCUGUUGCUGCAAGUUGGUGGUUUCUAGAAGAUGCUAGUCUUUGAAAGGCUAGGCUUUCCCCUUCUCUUCUGGCAUUCUGCAGUUCAGUCCACAUAUACUACCCUUUUCAUUGAUACCGAUGCAUAUGUAGUGUAGAUCCUUGCUUGCGAGUACUUUGGAUGAGUACUCAUGGUUGCUUUGCUCCCCCUUUUCCCCCUUUGUUCUUCUUUCCGGUUGAUGCAACCAGAUGUCGGAGCCCAGGAGCCAGAUGCCACCGCCGAUGCUUACUACUACGUGGAGGCCGCCGAUGACCAGGAGUAGUUAGGAGGCUCCCAGGCAGGAGGCCUUGCCUUUUCGAUCGUAAAUGCUUUUGUGCUGGCCUUCUUAAGGCAAACUUGUCUAACUUAUGUCUGUACUCAGAUAUUGUUGCUUCCGCUGACUCUUGUGUAUUCAGCUUAUGUAUUCGAGCCCUUGAGGCCCCUGGCUUGUAAUAUAAAGCUUGUAUUUUUUUAAUUUGUGUCUAGAGUUGUGUUGUGAUAUCUUCCCGUGAGUCCUUGAUCUUGAUCGUACACAUUUGCGUGUAUGAUUAGUGUACGAUUGAAUCGAGGGCGUCACAAGUUGGUAUCAGAGCCGACUGCCUGUAGGUAACCCCCUUUCCAACUCCUUGGCCGAAGUUGAGUCUAGUCAUUGAAAAACUUUUACUAACAUUGGCUGUGUGUCUUACGGGCCCACGUCGCCAUUGGGUGGUAUUAGGAUCUUUUACUCCUCGUCUAUGCUCUGGGACUCUGAUCUCUCUUCCAUUCGGGUUAAAGGAAUUUACUAACUCUAACAUUAGGAUCCCGUGACCACAUUCACCCCAAAGUUGGAUAAGCCAUAGUUAUUCCUUAGAAUAGUAUUCUGAAUAGUACACACAUUGUCGUGUUGACUACGAAGUGGUAUCCAUCGUACCUCUUUCAUUAUGCAUGUUUCAUCAUGAAUGAUCCUUGUCUUUGCAAAUGCUCAAUGCUGAACUACCCCCUGUUACUUGUUACCAGGACGGUUAGACCUGCUGGUCGUGGCUGUGGUGCCAACGAUCCACCACCACCCGAAUUCUUUGCUGGAAUGAUGCAACAAUUUGAGCUGAACCGCCAGUUCAUGGAAGGAAUGAUGGAUCAGUUUCCUCGUCCGAACAUGAAUCAACAACCAACCCCAGUAACUCUGCAGGACUUCAUGCGCCUCAACCCAACUAUUUACCGCAGCUCAACUCAGCCCCUUGAUGCUGAUGACUGGCUCCGCGACAUCACGUAUGAAAUGGAGUCUGCUAGUGUGGCCCCUGCUAGCUACGUCACCUUUGCAUCUUUCUUUUUGAAGGGUCCCGCUGCUCAAUGGUGGGACAGCCACAGGCGUACCCUACGUGCUGGAACGGUCAUCACUUGGCCGGAUUUCCAAGUCGCUUUCCGUGCCCGCUUCAUUCAUCAGGAAAUCAUGGACAAGAAGAAGCGAGAGUUCUGCAACCUCAUCCAAGGCAACAAGUCCUUAGAUGUUUGUCAACAGGAAUACCUGGACUUGUCACGUUAUGCUGAAGAAGACAUUGCUACUGAUGCUCGUAAGCAAGAGAAGUUUCAUGAUGGUCUUCACCCUGAUAUCAAGCUAGCACUGCUCGUUCAUGACUUUGCCGACUUCGCCACCUUGGUGAACAAGGCUAUUCAGGUCGAGACUUGUCUUCAGGAACACCAGGGAUCCCUCAGGCGCAGCCGUGACGCUGGCUCAUCUUCGGGCCUGUCAGCGCGGAAGCGUCGGAUAUGGAUUCCCCACAGCAUGUAUCGUCCAACUGCACCUGCACCAAGACAGUCCUAUGCUGCACCUCGUCUUCCCCCUCCACCGCAGAGGCAGCCCCUUCGGGCUGUACCACCCCAAGCUUCUGCUCCCAACCCCAAUGAUGGUCUAUGCUUCAAGUGUGGCCUUCCAGGUCACCGCUCCAGGAAAUGUCCUCAGAAUCAGAACCAGCUGGCUCUUCCUGCUGCGGGUCGUGGUAACAAUCAACCCCGCAACAACAAUGCCCGACCUUAUGGUCGUGGGCAGGCUAACAACAUUGAUCUGAAUGAAGCUCAAGACCAGCCUGCUACUGUGAUGGGUACUCUCCUUGUUAAUUCAGUACCAGCUUCAGUUUUAUUCGAUUCAGGGGCAUCACAUUCAUUCAUGUCAGAAAAUUUUGCAUACGCACACAACAUUCGAUGCGAGCCCAUGAACACUCCAAUAGUGGUAUGCACCCCUGCGGGCCGAUGUCAAACUACCAUGAUUGGUCGCGACGUUCCUGUUGAAAUUGAAGGGUUGGAAUUCCUUGUUUCUCCCAUUAUUCUGGAGUCUUCCAAUAUUGACCUCAUUCUGGGAAUGGAAUGGUUGAAAGCACAUACUGUCUCUAUCGUUUGCGCCACCAAGGUCGUUCACCUCCUACAUCCUUCCGAUGAGAUAGUAACCUACCAUGCUCAGCUUGUUCAAAACGCUGAAGCGCGACUUUAUGCUUCGAAUGCGUUGAACGCAGCACCUCUUGAGGGAAUUGAAAAGAUUCCAGUCGUUCGCGACUUCCAAGACGUAUUUCCAGAAGAACUUCCAGGAAUACCCCCUGCCCGGGCUGUCGAGUUCGUCAUCGACUUGAAACCAGGCACCGUUCCUAUUGCCAAACGACCCUACAAGAUGCCGCCUCAUGAGCUCCUUGAACUUAAGGAUGAAAUCGACAAAUCUCUUCGCAAGGGUUUCAUUCGACCAAGUUCCUCUGCUUGGGGAGCACCUUCUCUCUUCAUCAAGAAGAAGGACGGUACGAACCGUUUGGUCCAAGACUAUCGUCCUAUCAACCAAGCUACAAUUCAGAACAAAUAUCCCCUUCCUCGGAUCAAUGAUCUGUAUGAUCAACUGGCUGGUUCAUCGAUAUUCUCUAAACUCGACUUGAGGUUGGGUUACCACCAGAUCCGUGUUCAUGAAGAGGAUAUUCCAAAGACCGCCUUCGUCACUCAUUAUGGUUCUUACGAGUACACCGUCAUGUCAUUCGGUUUAACCAAUGCUCCAGCUACAUUCUCUCGUCUGAUGAACUAUAUAUUCAUGGAUUACCUCGACAUGUUCGUCGUGGUCUAUCUGGAUGAUAUUCUGGUAUAUUCGAAGAACAAAGAAGAGCAUGCUGAACAUCUUUGACUUGUUCUAGAGAAGCUUCGAGAACAUCAACUUUAUGCCAAGUAUUCCAAGUGCGAAUUCUGGUUACCCGAAGUCACCUACCUUGGUCAUGUCAUCUCCAAGGAUGGUACUGCCGUCAACCCAGAGCGCGUUCAGGCUAUUCUUGACUGGACCCCUCCGAAGACUGUCAAGCAAGUCAGAAGCUUUCUCGGACUCGCCAGCUAUUGCCGCCGUUUCGUCGAGAACUUCUCCGAGAUCGCCAAGCCACUGACCAAUCUGCUACACAAGGGCGUUAAGUUUGAUUGGACAGACAAAUGUCAGGAAAGUUUCCAGGCACUCAAGGACAAGUUGACUUCUGCCCCAGUGCUUGCUCCCCCUGAUUCUCGCAAAGACUUCGUCAUCUAUUGCGACGCUUCACGACAAGGAUUAGGCUGUGUCCUAAUGCAAGAGCGCAGAGUGAUUGCUUAUGCCUCCCGUCAAGUGCAUGCUCACGAAGAGAACUACCCAGUUCACGACCUCGAGCUUGCUGCGGUUAUCUUUGCACUGAAGCUAUGGCAACAAUACCUUCUCGGUAAUCGUUGUGAGAUCUUCACCGAUCAUCAGAGUCUGAAGUACCUGUUUACUCAGCCAGAUCUGAACCUCCGUCAGCAGCGAUGGAUGGAAGCUAUUGCUGACUACAACUGCGGCAUAUCUUAUACCCCUGGCAAGGCUAAUGUAAUGGCCGAUGCCCUGAGCCGUAAGUCUUAUCGCAACAAUCACAUGGUCUUCAAAGCUCAACCCCGCCUUUAUGAAGAGCUAUGCAAGCUGAACCUUCAACUAGUUCCACAGGGUUCUCUGAAUAACCUUGUCCUAGAACCAACUCUUUUGAAAGCAAUUAAGUCUGCACAAGCCAAAGAUGCUCAUGUGGAUUUGAUGAAAAAGGAUCUUGCCUUAGAGAAAUCCAGAGAUUUCUCACUUGGGGAAGAUGGAACCUUGUACUUCAGAGAUCGCAUUGUAGUACCCCAGUUCAAGCUUAUGACAGAGAAGGUGAUGAAAGAAGCGCACGACACCCCUCUCUCUAUUCAUCCGGGAAGUACCAAGAUGUAUCUAGACAUCCGUCAGAAGUACUGGUGGUCUAAUAUGAAGCAAGACAUUGCUCGAUAUAUUGAAGAAUGUGACGUUUGUCGUCGCGUCAAAGCAGAACAUCAAAAAUCGGCUGGACUUCUACAACCGCUUCCGAUUCCUGAAUGGAAGUGGGAUAAGAUUCAGAAGGACUUCGUCACUGGCCUUCCCAAGUCUCAGAAAGGUAACGAUGCUAUCUUUGUUGUCAUCGACCAAUUCUCGAAGGUUGCUCACUUUCUGCCAGUCAAGGAGACUAUCACUACUAGUCAAUUAGCAAACUUGUAUAUCUCCAGAAUUGUGUCACUCCACGGCAUUCCGAAGGAGAUCAGUUCAGACCGCGGCAGUAUUUUCACUUCGAAGUUCUGGGAUAGUUUCCAAGAUGCAAUGGGAACUCAUAUUACCUGGAGCACUGCUUAUCAUCCCCAAUCCCAAGGCCAAGUCGAGCGAGUCAAUCAAAUUCUUGAAGACAUGCUUCAAGCUUGUGUUAUUUCUUUCGGCAAGAAGUGGGAAGAAUCUCUCCCUUAUGCGGAGUUCUCUUAUAACAACAGCUAUCAAGCCAACUUGAAGAUGGCACCCUUUGAAGUGCUUUAUGGACGUAAAUGCUGAACCCCUCUGAAUUGGUCAAAAACUGGGGAACGGACGCUCAUUGGUCCAGACAUUAUUCAACAAGCUGAAGAGCAGGUUCGCAUUGUCCGGGAUAAUCUUAAGGCGGCCCAGUCCCGCCAGAAGAGCAACUAUGACCGGAAACACUGGGGUUCAACUUAUCAACCUGGUGAACAAGCAUAUUUGCGUGUCACUCCUUUGAGAGGCACUCAUCGGUUCGGAGUCAAGGGCAAGCUAGCUCCGCGCUACAUUGGUCCUUUCCGCAUUCUCUCCCGUCAUGGACUGGUGGCUUAUCAAUUGGAGUUGGCACCUCAGUUCUCCCACGUUCAUGACGUCUUCCAUGUGUCGCAACUUCGUCGAUGCUUCAAGGAUCCGGAACGUGAAGUGGAUCCAGAAUUAAUUGAAGUUCAUGAUGAUCUCACAUACAAAGAGCAUCCGAUCCGCAUUCUUGAAGAAGCCGAACGUCGAACCCGCCAGAAGGUUACCAAGUUCCUCAAGGUGCAAUGGUCGAAUCAUACUAAAGAUGAAGCCACUUGGGAACGCGAAGAUAACCUCCGGGCUGAAUACCCCGACCUGUUCCCUUCAACCUCUUAAUUCUCGGGAUGAGAAUGUCUUUUAGAGGAGGAGAGUUGUAACACCCCGGUGUAAUGAGGCUACAGUAAUCCCUGAGAUCAAGCUAAUCUUUUUGCUAUAACAGUGCUUGGUCUCUUUGAUCAAUAUUCCAUUUCAAAUUCCAGUUGAAUUCAAUUUGAAUUUAUGAGUGAAAUUCAAAAAUGCUCAGACAUGAAAACUAAAAUGUUCAUCAUGUGGAACAUAUUAUUCUGGUAAUAUUGGUGUUGGUCCACCAUUUUUUUCAAAGUGUCUAAAUGACCUAAGAUAGCUAAAGCAGAA
Molecule: long non-coding RNA, 17750 nt
Filed under: Triticum aestivum (bread wheat)
Lineage: Eukaryota; Viridiplantae; Streptophyta; Magnoliopsida; Poales; Poaceae
Description: long non-coding RNA (TAES_LNC008755)
Source: RNAcentral